CUUGUUCUAGAAAUGUUGACUGAGUUGGCAAGAAGGGAGAAGGCAACCAACAUCAAGCCAGAUCAUGAUAUUGAUGUCUAUAUGAAGAUAUUAGACUUGGAGGUAUGUGCUAAUACGCUGGUAGGGAAGGAGAUGAUGAGGGGUAUUUCUGAUGGUCAACGAAAGCAUGUCACAAUAGGGAAGAGUUAAUGUGAUGAAAAAUAGCAGCAGCAAAAGAAAGUGAAGGGAAAACAAAACAUCGAUCUCUACUUAGUUUUGUGUGAGACACAAUUCACGGUUAGUAGGACAUUCAAUCAACUAGAGUUUGCCGCUAUUUGUGACUAGAGUUCGACUUGUGACUCCAUGAAAAGCCCGAACUUCGAGUACGUAGACAAUGGGGGUUGCUCGAUGCUGGCUUCGUUGCAGCGAUGGACGGAUGAACAUCUGCAUACAUCAAAGGACAGAGACGUUGAAGAAAAUAAGUGGGAGAAAAAUGGCUCUGCCCUAAUGGAAAUUGACAGCAUCUGUGAAGUUGACAGCAACUUCGAGGAUCCACAGUUGUGCGUCGCUAUGGCUUCUGACAUCUACAUGCAUCUACGAGAA
Molecule: long non-coding RNA, 582 nt
Organism: Zea mays
Lineage: Eukaryota; Viridiplantae; Streptophyta; Magnoliopsida; Poales; Poaceae
Exons: 4
Source: RefSeq, a predicted model, not a curated record